UUUCUCAAAUGGAAGGAGAUCAAGAGAUAGAGGUGGGGAGAGAGAGGCGGGAAAGGGGAUAAGGAUAGAAUGGAAGUGUGCCGAGUGCACGUACGGACAGACUCCACCCGAGGAACGUAAACAGUAUGUACUAAAACACGUGCAAUAAAAAAGGAAGAAAUUGGUACUCCUCUUCUCCUGUUAAUCUGCCCACUGUUAGUUUAUUUCACAGACUCAAGUGUCAAACCCUUGGAGGGUGGAGGGAGAUUUUCCCCCUCUACACUGGAAUGCAAGGCUUAAUUCCCAGUUACAGGGAUUCUAAGGAGCAGCCUCACUGGGAUGCAGAAGUGGGAGGGGUGGAACCUGUCCUUCCCAGCUGUCACUGUACCCCGUUAUCUGUUCUCCAAUGUGUCUGCUCCCCCAGUCCAUUCCAUCCGCACGUGUGUGAGAUGGAAAAAAUGACCUCUGAGUGUCAGUUGUGGUCCCUGCUGGGCUCCCAUCCAGGCUGACCCGGGGGCAGGUGUGAGUCCUCUGUCCCCAGGGCUUCUGGAGGGACAGUUUGUUUUGCAGGGCUGCAGCCAAGAAGGAGAGUGAAAGCCUCCCGCACAGCCUUGGAGCCUCACACGGCCACUUCCAGCUGCCCGGGCUCCUCAGGGGCGAAGGAGAUGAGCGCUGACACCACCACACCAGUACCAGCACUCCCAGGCUGUCCUGCCUCUGCCAGCCAGACCCUUCCAGGGAUGUGGAGGAGGGCUGCAUGCCAGGCACAGGCUGGAGCGAGAUGUAACUGAGCAAAAGCAGACCCUGAAGACGGCAUGGCACCCAGAUAAUGCUGGGCACCAGCAGGAGGGCGUUCAGUCCUUGCUCAGUGGAUCAAGAAAGGGUACUGUUCCUGCGGCACAGAAGGCCCUGGCCUGCGCCCAACGUAGCUCUGAAAGGACCACAGUCUUGGCUGCUGUUCUGCGGCUGUGUCUAACAAGGACGAUCACCUGCCAAGGAGGAGUGGGGACAGCCAAACUCCAACCCAGGCAGCUGGGGUGCAAUCAUGACCAAUUAGGCCCCCCACUGCUCCCUGUC
Long non-coding RNA from Fukomys damarensis (Damara mole-rat), 1056 nucleotides. RefSeq lists it as uncharacterized. The record is from RefSeq and is a predicted model, not a curated record. The transcript is spliced from 3 exons. Lineage: Eukaryota; Metazoa; Chordata; Mammalia; Rodentia; Bathyergidae.